GCGGACGUGAGCGUCUUUGGACAGCCGCCCUGGGGACUAGGACAGGUUUAGCACUGUCCACAAAAGUCUCUCAUGUCAAGUUGUUUUACGAGUGGGGGCCAAGCUCUCUCCCACCCACCAGCCCUCCACCCUGCUGGGAAUCCUGUGACUCCUGUCCCCACCCAGCUGCUUCAGUUCAUCAGCAUCUGCUGAUUGCUUCUUCAUCAUCUCCUCGCUGCCAGGCAGGUGGCAGCCAACGUCCCACCGAAAAGUAGAUGCGGGAGAGCGACCCCUGACAAUUUACACGAAGAGUAGGACUGGGGGACCAAAUCCUCUUCUAGAUGAAUAAUGACAGGAGAGACGACUUUGCCAGCGUUUUGCUUGCCCCCUAACCAGGAUCCGAAAAUUCAGUCAAAAAUGUUAAGGCUCUCAGGAGCAUCGUUCGAAUCUUCCCUCCUGCACUGACCUCAUUUGAAAGGCCAGCAUUUCAUGGAGAACAGAACCGCCGUGCGUGUCGCUUGACAACAUUCUCUCAUUGGUCAGGGGCUCCUGCCACCUUCGGAUAAAGACCUGGUGCUUUGUGAAUGUGCAGUGGCACCGUCCAGGUGUAACCUGGCGGCACAGAGGGACUCUGUGAUCUGCUUCAGCCCUUUCACUUUACAAAGGGGGAAACUGACACUGGGUCUGAGGAAGGUCUCUCUGCCGGGGCAGCUGAGUGGUCACAGAGCUGGGACUAGACUGUAAGCCUGGUGCCUCCCUUCAGGACCCCUACUUCCUGCCUUUUCCUGAAGGUAGAACUAUAGGACUUUGACUCUGGAGGAUCUGCUGCUGCCCCCUGGAGUUGCCCCAGGCCCCAGGAGUUGAGGACCUUAUUCCAGAUCCUGGCCCCCAAGUUCACAGGCACACGUGGAGUCAGAGCAUGACUUCCCUCCAGGCACUCGAGGGCGAGCCGGGCGGCCCCACUCUCUGGUGUCGUUCCAAUUGCUGGCUCUGAUGCUUCCUGCGCCAACAGGUGGCCACGGAGCUGACCCCCAGCGGCCGCAUCAGUCGCCAACAAUGUGAGCUGUCGACAGAGAAAGAUAAAGACCAGGAAACCGUUUCUCACGUAGUUGGCCCAGAGCAGAGAGUAAAUUGCCAGAAACGGCCUGGAAGAGGCUGUAAAAGGAAA
This is a long non-coding RNA of Chinchilla lanigera (long-tailed chinchilla), 1147 nucleotides long. RefSeq lists it as uncharacterized. NCBI's taxonomy places the organism in Eukaryota, Metazoa, Chordata, Mammalia, Rodentia, Chinchillidae. The record is from RefSeq and is a predicted model, not a curated record. The transcript has 2 exons.